This 599-nucleotide ribosomal RNA is filed under the name Salmonella enterica subsp. enterica serovar Enteritidis. RNAcentral's name for it is "partial 23S ribosomal RNA". It matches the Rfam family "Bacterial large subunit ribosomal RNA", at positions 673 to 1269 of the family's 2925-position model. The record is from RNAcentral. Lineage: Bacteria; Pseudomonadati; Pseudomonadota; Gammaproteobacteria; Enterobacterales; Enterobacteriaceae.
GAAACCGAGUCUUAAUUGGGCGUUAAGUUGCAGGGUAUAGACCCGAAACCCGGUGAUCUAGCCAUGGGCAGGUUGAAGGUUGGGUAACACUAACUGGAGGACCGAACCGACUAAUGUUGAAAAAUUAGCGGAUGACCUGUGGCUGGGGGUGAAAGGCCAAUCAAACCGGGAGAUAGCUGGUUCUCCCCGAAAGCUAUUUAGGUAGCGCCUCGUGAAUUCAUCUCCGGGGGUAGAGCACUGUUUCGGCUAGGGGGCCAUCCCGGCUUACCAACCCGAUGCAAACUGCGAAUACCGGAGAAUGUUAUCACGGGAGACACACGGCGGGUGCUAACGUCCGUCGUGAAGAGGGAAACAACCCAGACCGCCAGCUAAGGUCCCAAAGUCAUGGUUAAGUGGGAAACGAUGUGGGAAGGCCCAGACAGCCAGGAUGUUGGCUUAGAAGCAGCCAUCAUUUAAAGAAAGCGUAAUAGCUCACUGGUCGAGUCGGCCUGCGCGGAAGAUGUAACGGGGCUAAACCAUGCACCGAAGCUGCGGCAGCGACACUGUGUGUUGUUGGGUAGGGGAGCGUUCUGUAAGCCUGUGAAGGUGUGUCGUGAGGC